RNAcentral lists this ribosomal RNA (468 nucleotides) under Triticum aestivum (bread wheat). RNAcentral's name for it is "partial small subunit ribosomal RNA". Lineage: Eukaryota; Viridiplantae; Streptophyta; Magnoliopsida; Poales; Poaceae. The record is from RNAcentral.
AUGGACCUGGAUGACUUUCCACUUGACCAGGAGUUUCCGGACGACUACAGGCAAGAGGAAGAGGACGAGUGCGGCAUCAAAGUGGAGCCUUUGUUCGAGGACGAGCUCGUCAACCAAGCCGCCAGGCCGAAGCCGAAACGCAAGAGCAAGCGCACGAAGGCAUACACGACGGCCGAGGACAAGCUUCUUUGCUAAUGUUGGCGAGACAUUGGACAAGACCCCAAGACCAGCGCCGAACAAAAUCAUUCAACUUUUUGGAUUCGUGUUCACCGGGAGUUUCAUGAGCGCAAGAAGUUUCCUCCUUACCAAAUCGUGAGCACGCGCGGGUGGGUGUCCAUUUCGAAGCGAUGGAGGGUGAUCCAACAAGAGUGCAACAAGUUUUGUGCCACUCUCGAGAGCAUCAAGGCCCGCCAUGUGAGCGGCAUCGACAUGCAAGACAUGGUAUGCUAUGUAACACCCGGGAUAUGA